CCUACGGGUAGCAGCAGUGGGGAAUAUUGCACAAUGGUGGAAACCCUGAUGCCGCGACGCCGCGUGAGCUAUGCAGUAUCUCGGUAUGUAAAGCUCUAUCAGCAGGGAAGAAAGUGACAGUACCUGACUAAGAAGUCCCGGCUAACUACGUGCCAGCAACCGCGGUAAUACGUCGGGGGCAAGCGUUAUCGGGAUUAACUGGGCGUAAAGGGAGCGCAGGAGGCACGGCAAGUCUGGUGUGAAAACCCGGGGCUCAACCCCGGGACUGCAUUGGAAACUGCCGGGCUGGAGUGUCGGAGGGGUAAGCGGAAUUCAUAGUGUAGCGGUGAAAUGCGUAGAUAUUAGGAGGAACACCAGUGGCGAAGGC
Molecule: ribosomal RNA, 367 nt
Filed under: uncultured bacterium
Lineage: Bacteria
Description: partial 16S ribosomal RNA
Rfam family: Bacterial small subunit ribosomal RNA
Source: RNAcentral